UACAGAGGUCUCAAGCGUUGUUCGGGUUCAUUGGGCGUAAAGGGUGCGUAGGUGGCGCGGUAAGUCGGGUGUGAAAUUUCGGAGCUUAACUCCGAAACUGCAUUCGAUACUGCCGUGCUUGAGGACUGGAGAGGAGACUGGAAUUUACGGUGUAGCAGUGAAAUGCGUAGAGAUCGUAAGGAAGACCAGUGGCGAAGGCGGGUCUCUGGACAGUUCCUGACACUGAGGCACGAAGGCCAGGGGAGCAAACGGG
Molecule: ribosomal RNA, 253 nt
Filed under: uncultured bacterium
Lineage: Bacteria
Description: partial 16S ribosomal RNA
Rfam family: Bacterial small subunit ribosomal RNA
Source: RNAcentral